GAAGUACCGUGAGGGAAAGGCGAAAAGAACCCCAGCGAGGGGAGUGAAAAAGAACCUGAAACCGUAAACCCACAACAGGUCAGAGCCCGGUUUAGAGCCGGGUGAUGGCGUGCCUUUUGUAGAAUGAGCCUGCGAGUUACGAUGUAUAGCAAGGUUAAGGCUUGGAAGAGCCGGAGCCGAAGGGAAACCGAGUCUGAAUAGGGCGUUUAGUUGUAUGUCGUAGACCCGAAGCCAAGUGAUCUUGUUAUGUGCAGGUUGAAGGCAGGGUAAAACCUGUUGGAGGACCGAACACAAAUCUGUUUAAAAAGGUUGUGAUGACAUGUGACAAGGAGCGAAAGACUAAACAAACUUGGAAAUAGCUGGUUCUCCCCGAAAUGCCUUGAGGGACAGCCUUAUCAAAAUCUUACGCAGGUAGAGCACUGGAUGGACUAGGGGGCUUCACCGCCUACCAAACCCAAUCAAACUCCGAAUGGCGUAAGACAACUGAUAGGAGUGAGACUGCGGGCGACAAGGUUCGUAGUCGAGAGGGAAACAGCCCAGACCGUCGGCUAAGGUCCCAAAUAGUAUGCUAAGUGUUAAAUGAUGUGCCGUGGCGCAGACAGCCAGGAUGUUGGCUUAGAAGCAGCCACUCAUUUAAAGAGUGCGUAAUAGCUCACUGGUCGAGUCACGACGCGCAGACAAUGUAACGGGGCUUAAGCAUACAACCGAAGCCGCGGGAUCAUGCAGCAAUGCAUGGUCGGUAGGGGAGCAUUCCACGAACCGAAGAAGGUAACUUGGGAAAGUUGCUGGAGGGGGUGGAAGAGAGAAUGCAGGUAUAAGUACACGAAAAGACGGGUGAGAUUCCCGUCCGCCGAAAGCCUAAGGAUUCCUGGGUAAAGGUCAUCUGCCCAGGGUAAGUCGGCCCCUAAGACGAGGGCGAAAGCCGUAGUCGAUGGGAAACUGGUUCAGAUUCCAGUACCAUUCAUGGUUUUAUGGGAUGACGCGUGAGGUGAAACCCGGCCGGGCGACGGUUGCCCCGGUCGAAGCAGUAAGUUAUUGGGGGCGGAGAAAACGCCUUUAGACAAGCUGCGACAGCGAGCUGUAUUACGGUACAGCGAAGCGGGUGUAAUCAAGGCGCCAAGAAAUAAUCCCCACUAGACAGGCCAUGAAGACCGUACCGCAAACCGACACAGGUAGGCGGGAUGAGAAAUCUAAGGCGCUCGAGAGAACUCGCGUUAAGGAACUCGGCAAAAUACGCACGUAACUUCGGGAGAAGUGCGACCACCGGCAGUUUUAGCAAUAGAGUUGUUGGUGGUGUCACAAAGCAGUCCCAGGCGACUGUUUAUCAAAAACACAGGCCUCUGCGAACCAGCAAUGGGAAGUAUAGGGGCUGACACCUGCCCGGUGCCGGAAGGUUAAGAGGAGCGGUUAGUCGCAAGAUGAAGCUGUGAAUCGAAGCCCCGGUAAACGGCGGCCGUAACUAUAACGGUCCUAAGGUAGCGAAAUUCCUUGUCGGGUAAGUUCCGACCCGCACGAAAGGUGUAACGAUCUGGGAGCUGUCUCAACGCGAGACUCGGUGAAAUUUAAGUACCGGUAAAGAUGCCGGUUACCCGUGGUUAGACGGAAAGACCCCGUG
RNAcentral lists this ribosomal RNA (1615 nucleotides) under termite gut metagenome. RNAcentral's name for it is "bacterial LSU rRNA". It matches the Rfam family "Bacterial large subunit ribosomal RNA", at positions 495 to 2095 of the family's 2925-position model. The record is from RNAcentral.